RNAcentral lists this transfer RNA (74 nucleotides) under Sphaerodactylus townsendi. RNAcentral describes it as "tRNA-Ala". Lineage: Eukaryota; Metazoa; Chordata; Lepidosauria; Squamata; Sphaerodactylidae. The record is from RNAcentral.
GUGCUGUGGCUCAGUGGAAGAACCUCUGCUCUGCAUGUAGAAGGUCCUAGGUUCAAUCCCUGGCACCAGGAUCG